GGUGGUGGUGGUGGCGGCAGCAGGAAGGGACAGCGACGGAGACGGCGGCGGCGGCGGCUCUCGGUUUGUGCGGCUUCCCGGGGCGAGGGGAGGAAGCCGGCAGGACAGGAUUAGAGGUCUCCGUGGGCCGCGGCUGCUUUGCUUCUGAAUUGUUGCCAAACGCUGCGUGGCUUUCCUCGGCGCUUUGUGACAACGCAAGCUUGUCUGUCAUGCGCGCCGCCCUCAUGCACCGCCGGCCAACCUGACACGUGCACCGCCUCCUCCCAACGAAGCCAGCCCGACACGUGGUUAUUGAGGUGAACUCGCCCCAUUACUUGAAACCAGUCUUCCCUUCCGUGACGCUGUGGUCCUGCAGGUGGAAGGAGGGUGACCACCUUGUCUUGAGGAUGGAGAAGCAUAAAGACCAACGGGUACUCUUGUCAUUCCCCGGACCACCCUGCCCUCCACUUACGAUCGAGACAGCAAUCAGGAGACCGACGCGAUGAAGAGGAAGCCUAGACAAGUCGGACGACUAGCGGCAGUGAAGACGAGGAGGGUUGGAGAUGAAGGGACCGCUUCAGGAUUGAACAAAUUAAGAGGCCAU
This is a long non-coding RNA of Scylla paramamosain (green mud crab), 583 nucleotides long. RefSeq lists it as uncharacterized. The record is from RefSeq and is a predicted model, not a curated record. NCBI's taxonomy places the organism in Eukaryota, Metazoa, Arthropoda, Malacostraca, Decapoda, Portunidae. The transcript is spliced from 4 exons.